GGGAGAAUAUACCGUAGUGGUAGCGGGACUGGCUGUAAACCAGUUGCUUAACGGCUCGGGUGGUUCGACUCCAUCUUCUCCCA
RNAcentral lists this transfer RNA (83 nucleotides) under Bacteriophage sp. RNAcentral's name for it is "tRNA-Tyr". It matches the Rfam family "tRNA". Rfam says of the family: Transfer RNA (tRNA) molecules are approximately 80 nucleotides in length. Their secondary structure includes four short double-helical elements and three loops (D, anti-codon, and T loops). The record is from RNAcentral.